This 155-nucleotide ribosomal RNA is filed under the name Paraconiothyrium fungicola. RNAcentral's name for it is "5.8 S ribosomal RNA". It matches the Rfam family "5.8S ribosomal RNA". From Rfam's summary of the family: 5.8S ribosomal RNA (5.8S rRNA) is a component of the large subunit of the eukaryotic ribosome. It is transcribed by RNA polymerase I as part of the 45S precursor that also contains 18S and 28S rRNA. Lineage: Eukaryota; Fungi; Ascomycota; Dothideomycetes; Pleosporales; Didymosphaeriaceae. RNAcentral also lists the same sequence under 5 other names. The record is from RNAcentral.
AACUUUCAACAAUGGAUCUCUUGGCUCUGGCAUCGAUGAAGAACGCAGCGAAAUGCGAUAAGUAGUGUGAAUUGCAGAAUUCAGUGAAUCAUCGAAUCUUUGAACGCACAUUGCGCCCCUCGGUAUUCCGUGGGGCAUGCCUGUUCGAGCGUCAU